GACGAACGCUGGCGGCGUGCUUAACACAUGCAAGUCGAGCGGUAAGGCCCUCGGGUACGACGAGCGGCGAACGGGUGAGUAACACGUGGGUGACCUGCCUCUAGCUCUGGGAUAAGCCUGGGAAACUGGGUCUAAUACCGGAUAUGACUCCACGGCGCAUGUUGUGGGGUGGAAAGCCUUGUGCGGCUAGAGAUGGGCCCGCGGCCUAUCAGCUUGUUGGUGGGGUGA
This 228-nucleotide ribosomal RNA is filed under the name uncultured bacterium. RNAcentral describes it as "partial 16S ribosomal RNA". It matches the Rfam family "Bacterial small subunit ribosomal RNA", at positions 28 to 260 of the family's 1533-position model. The record is from RNAcentral.